CAAGUCGUGCGAGAAAGUAUCUUCGGAUAUGAGUAGAGCGGCGGACGGGUGAGUAACGCGUAGGAAUCUACCUAGUAGAAGGGGAUAGCCCGAGGAAACUCGGAUUAAUACCGUAUACCUCCUUCGGGAGAAAGAAGGCCUCUCUUUGAAGCUUUCGCUACUAGAUGAGCCUGCGUAAGAUUAGCUUGUUGGUGAGGUAAAGGCUCACCAAGGCUACGAUCUUUAGCGGGUCUGAGAGGACGAUCCGCCACAUUGGGACUGAGACACGGCCCAGACUCCUACGGGAGGCAGCAGUGGGGAAUAUUGGACAAUGGAGGCAACUCUGAUCCAGCCAUGCCGCGUGCAGGAAGACUGCCCUAUGGGUUGUAAACUGCUUUUAUACAGGAAGAAAUGUACCUACGUGUAGGUAUUUGACGGUACUGUACGAAUAAGGAUCGGCUAACUCCGUGCCAGCAGCCGCGGUAAUACGGAGGAUCCAAGCGUUAUCCGGAAUCAUUGGGUUUAAAGGGUCCGUAGGCGGUCUUUUAAGUCAGAGGUGAAAUCCUACAGCUCAACUGUAGAAUUGCCUUUGAUACUGAAGGACUUGAGUUAUUGUGAAGUAAUUAGAAUGUGUGGUGUAGCGGUGAAAUGCAUAGAGAUCACACAGAAUACCGAUUGCGAAGGCAGAUUACUAACAAUAUACUGACGCUGAGGGACGAAAGCGUGGGGUAGCGAACAGGAUUAGAUACCCUGGUAGUCCACGCCGUAAACGAUGUCUACUAGAAGCUCGGAACCUCGGUUCUGUUUUUCAAAGCUAACGCAUUAAGUAGACCGCCUGGGGAGUACGGCCGCAAGGUUAAAACUCAAAUGAAUUGACGGGGGCCCGCACAAGCGGUGGAGCAUGUGGUUUAAUUCGAUGCAACGCGAAGAACCUUACCUACACUUGACAUACAGAGAACUUACUAGAGAUAGUUUGGUGCCUUCGGGAACUCUGAUACAGGUGCUGCAUGGCUGUCGUCAGCUCGUGUUGUGAGAUGUUGGGUUAAGUCCCGCACGAGCGCACUCCUAUCCUUAGUGCUAGCAGGUAUGCUGGAACUCUAAGAGACUGCCGGUGAUAAUCUGGAGAAGGUGGGGGACGACCUCCAAGUCAUCAUGGCCUUUACUGGGUAGGUAACCACAGUGCUAUAAAUGGGCGCACAUAUACAGAGAGGUGGUGCGUA
Molecule: ribosomal RNA, 1199 nt
Filed under: uncultured Bacteroidota bacterium
Lineage: Bacteria; Pseudomonadati; Bacteroidota
Description: bacterial SSU rRNA
Rfam family: Bacterial small subunit ribosomal RNA
Source: RNAcentral